AACCCAUGGUGAGAGCACCUUUUCAGAAGGUAUUUGUAUCUCUCCUAUGCAUCGUAGAGGGUUUCUAAAUCCAUCUGCACAAAAAAAGAGAUUUCAUUACGUAAUUU
Molecule: small nucleolar RNA, 107 nt
Filed under: Gossypium barbadense (sea-island cotton)
Lineage: Eukaryota; Viridiplantae; Streptophyta; Magnoliopsida; Malvales; Malvaceae
Also listed under: 1 other name
Description: Plant small nucleolar RNA R71
Rfam family: Plant small nucleolar RNA R71
About the family: R71 is a member of the C/D box family of snoRNAs containing the C (UGAUGA) and D (CUGA) box motifs. Multiple nearly identical copies of this snoRNA have been identified in Arabidopsis, and it is thought to function as a 2'-O-ribose methylation guide for 18S ribosomal RNA.
Source: Rfam by way of RNAcentral